AGCCUGAACGCUGGCGGCGUGGCUAAGACAUGCAAGUCGCACGGAGGCCGCAAGGCUUUAGUGGCGAACGGGUGAGUAAUGUAUCGCUAACGUACCCUUUAGUCUGGGAUAGCCAGGGGAAACCCUGGGUAAUACCAGUUGAUAUUCUCUUUCCGCAUGGGAGGAGACUCAAAGGAGCAAUCCGCUGAAGGAGCGGGCUGA
Molecule: ribosomal RNA, 201 nt
Filed under: uncultured bacterium
Lineage: Bacteria
Description: partial small subunit ribosomal RNA
Rfam family: Bacterial small subunit ribosomal RNA
Source: RNAcentral